AUCCUUUUGUGGUUCAUAAGUGUGAUGAUUGGUUUUCAUGUUGCUGUGUGAGAUGUGACUCCGUCAGACCUGAUUAGAGCAUCAUCUAGAUUCAUGAUA
Ochotona princeps (American pika) is the source of this 99-nucleotide small nucleolar RNA. Lineage: Eukaryota; Metazoa; Chordata; Mammalia; Lagomorpha; Ochotonidae. The record is from Ensembl.